ACGCUGGCGGCACGCCUAACACAUGCAAGUCGAACGAAGUAGCAAUACUUAGUGGCAGACGGGUGAGUAACAUGUAGGUAUCUGCCCUUUGGCCUGGAAUAACACGAGGAAACUUGUGCUAAUACCGGAUAAGUCUUUACGGAGAAAGCUUUAUGCACCAUUGGAUGAGCCUGCACUUGAUUAGUUUGUUGGUGGGGUAAUGGCCUACCAAGACUGUGAUCAAUAGCUGAUUUGAGAGGAUGAUCAGCCACAUUGGGACUGAGACACGGCCCAAACUCCUACGGGGGGCAGCAGUGGGGAAUCUUGCACAAUGGAGGAAACUCUGAUGCAGCGAUGCCGCGUGAGUGAAGAAGGCCCUUGGGUUGUAAAGCUCUUUCGUCGGGGAAGAAAAUGACUGUACCCGAAUAAGAAGGUCCGGCUAACUUCGUGCCAGCAGCCGCGGUAAUACGAAGGGACCUAGCGUAGUUCGGAAUUACUGGGCUUAAAGAGUUCGUAGGUGGUUGAAAAAGUUAGUGGUGAAAUCCCAGAGCUUAACUCUGGAACUGCCAUUAAAACUUUUUAGCUAGAGUAUGAUAGAGGAAAGCAGAAUUUCUAGUGUAGAGGUGAAAUUCGUAGAUAUUAGAAAGAAUACCAAUUGCGAAAGGCAGCUUUCUGGAUCAUUACUGACACUGAGGAACGAAAGCAUGGGUAGCGAAGAGGAUUAGAUACCCUCGUAGUCCAUGCCGUAAACGAUGUGUGUUAGACGUUGGAAAUUUAUUUUCAGUGUCGCAGGGAAACCGAUAAACACACCGCCUGGGGAGUACGACCGCAAGGUUAAAACUCAAAUGAAUUGACGGGGACCCGCACAAGUAGUGGAGCAUGUGGUUUAAUUCGAAGAUACGCGCAGAACCUUACCAACACUUGACAUGUUCGUCGCGACUCUAAGAGAUUAGAGUUUUCGGUUCGGCCGGACGAAACACAGGUGCUGCAUGGCUGUCGUCAGCUCGUGUCGUGAGAUGUUGGGUUAAGUCCCGCAACGAGCGCAACCCUCACUUUUAGUUGCCAUCAUUAAGUUGGGCACUCUGAAAGAACUGCCAGUGAUAAGCUGGAGGAAGGUGGGGAUGACGUCAAGUCCUCAUGGCCCUUACGUGUUGGGCUACACACGUGCUACAAUGGUAUCUACAACAGGAAGCAAGACUGCGAAGUUAAGCAAAUCCCUAAAAGAUACCUCAGUUCGGAUUGCACUCUGCAACUCGAGUGCAUGAAGCUGGAAUUACUAGUAAUCGUGGAUCAGCGUGCCACGGUGAAUGCGUUCCCGGGUCUUGUACUCACCGCC
This 1315-nucleotide ribosomal RNA is filed under the name uncultured Alphaproteobacteria bacterium. Its description in RNAcentral is "uncultured alpha proteobacterium 16S ribosomal RNA". It matches the Rfam family "Bacterial small subunit ribosomal RNA", at positions 33 to 1394 of the family's 1533-position model. Lineage: Bacteria; Pseudomonadati; Pseudomonadota; Alphaproteobacteria. The record is from RNAcentral.